UGAGCUUGUAACCCGAGUGGGGGCUUUGAGGUGCUGGAACAUUGUCCCAGUAUUAGCUGGUCGGGUUCGGGUUGGCUAUCUUCUGGCUCGCCCAUUCCAAGCCAGGAGUUGAACCCUGUGGCAUGAGCGAAGGCCCUGGGUCACUGGGUUUCUAGAGUGGAGGGCACUGCGUAAGGCUGGCUUCACAGAGCAACGACUACCUCUCGCUCUUGGCAGUGGAAGGAUAACGGGUCGGUGCCAAUCGGAUC
RNAcentral lists this signal recognition particle RNA (248 nucleotides) under Prunus dulcis (almond). Its description in RNAcentral is "sRNA ncRNA". It matches the Rfam family "Plant signal recognition particle RNA", at positions 17 to 263 of the family's 305-position model. Lineage: Eukaryota; Viridiplantae; Streptophyta; Magnoliopsida; Rosales; Rosaceae. The record is from RNAcentral.